This is a small nucleolar RNA of Carlito syrichta (Philippine tarsier), 82 nucleotides long. Its record names the gene SNORD115. It matches the Rfam family "Small nucleolar RNA SNORD115". From Rfam's summary of the family: HBII-52 is a member of the C/D class of snoRNAs, which contain the C (UGAUGA) and D (CUGA) box motifs. HBII-52 is encoded in a tandemly repeated array with another C/D snoRNA, HBII-85, in the Prader-Willi syndrome (PWS) region of chromosome 15. NCBI's taxonomy places the organism in Eukaryota, Metazoa, Chordata, Mammalia, Primates, Tarsiidae. The record is from Ensembl.
GGGUCAAUGAUGAGUACUUUAUACUGCCUUGAGGAAAGAUGAUGACUUCAAUAUCAAGUACAAUGGCAUGACACUGAGGCCC